UAGUCCACGCAGUAAACGAUGUCUAUUAGAGGUUUGUGGCUAUAUGCCGUGGGUUUCAAAGCUAACGCAUUAAAUAGACCGCCUGGGGAGUACGGCCGCAAGGUUAAAACUCAAAUGAAUUGACGGGGGCCCGCACAAGCGGUGGAGCAUGUGGUUUAAUUCGAUGCAACGCGAAGAACCUUACCAUCCCUUGACAUCCAGAGAAUCUGUUAGAUAUAGUAGAGUGCCUUCGGGAACUCUGAGACAGGUGCUGCAUGGCUGUCGUCAGCUCGUGUCGUGAGAUGUUGGGUUAAGUCCCGCAACGAGCGCAACCCUUGUCUUUAGUUGCCAUCAUUUAGUUGGGCACUCUAGAGAAACUGCCGGUGACAAACCGGAGGAAGGUAAGGAUGACGUCAAGUCAGCAUGCCCCUUACGCUCUGGGCUACACACGUGCUACAAUGGUCUGACAAAGAGUUGCUAGUCUGCGAAGGCAAGCCAAUCUCAUAAACGCGG
Molecule: ribosomal RNA, 492 nt
Filed under: uncultured bacterium
Lineage: Bacteria
Description: bacterial SSU rRNA
Rfam family: Bacterial small subunit ribosomal RNA
Source: RNAcentral